This 793-nucleotide ribosomal RNA is filed under the name Methanosaeta sp. enrichment culture clone A2287. RNAcentral's name for it is "bacterial SSU rRNA". It matches the Rfam family "Archaeal small subunit ribosomal RNA", at positions 85 to 879 of the family's 1478-position model. Lineage: Archaea; Methanobacteriati; Methanobacteriota; Methanomicrobia; Methanotrichales; Methanotrichaceae. The record is from RNAcentral.
ACUGCUCAGUAACACGUGGACAACCUGCCCUUAGGACGGGGAUAAACCCGGGAAACUGGGUAUAAUACCCGAUAGGUCUCGAUUGCUGGAAUGCAUCGAGAUUUAAAGCUCCGGCGCCUAAGGAUGGGUCUGCGGCCUAUCAGGUAGUAGUGGGUGUAGCGUACCUACUAGCCUACGACGGGUACGGGUUGUGAGAGCAAGAGCCCGGAGAUGGAUUCUGAGACACGAAUCCAGGCCCUACGGGGUGCAGCAGGCGCGAAAACUUUACAAUGCUGGCAACAACGAUAAGGGAACCUCGAGUGCCAGGUUACAAAUCUGGCUGUCGAGAUGCCUAAAAAGCAUUUCAUAGCAAGGGCCGGGCAAGACCGGUGCCAGCCGCCGCGGUAACACCGGCGGCUCGAGUGGUAACCGUUAUUAUUGGGUCUAAAGGGUCUGUAGCCGGCCGGAUAAGUCUCUUGAGAAAUCUGGCAGCUUAACUGUCAGGCUUUCAGGAGAUACUGUCUGGCUCGAGGCCGGGAGAGGUGAGAGGUACUUCAGGGGUAGGGGUGAAAUCUUGUAAUCCUUGAAGGACCACCAGUGGCGAAGGCGUCUCACCAGAACGGACCUGACGGCAAGGGACGAAAGCUAGGGGCACGAACCGGAUUAGAUACCCGGGUAGUCCUAGCCGUAAACGAUACUCGCUAGGUGUCGGCCACGGUGCGACCGUUGUCGGUGCCGUAGGGAAGCCGUGAAGCGAGCCACCUGGGAAGUACGGCCGCAAGGCUGAAACUUAAAGGAAUUGGCGGGGGAGCAC